Molecule: ribosomal RNA, 252 nt
Filed under: uncultured bacterium
Lineage: Bacteria
Description: partial 16S ribosomal RNA
Rfam family: Bacterial small subunit ribosomal RNA
Source: RNAcentral
GCAAGUCGUACGGUAACAGAAAAGAGCUUGCUCUUUUGCUGACGAGUGGCGUACGGGUGAGUAAUGCAUGGGAAUCUGCCCUAAAGUGGGGGACAACCCGAGGAAACUCGGGCUAAUACCGCAUAAUACCUUCGGGUUAAAGCUGGGGCCUUUUUGGCCUGGCGCUUUAGGAUGAGCCCAUGUUGGAUUAGCUUGUAGGUGGGGUAAAAGCCUACCUAGGCGACGAUCCAUAGCUGGUCUGAGAGGAUGAUC